GUCCACGCCGUAAACGAUGGGCACUAGGUGCUUGGGGGAGCGACCCCUUGAGUGCCGACGCUAACGCAUGAAGUGCCCCGCCUGGGGAGUACGGCCGCAAGGCUGAAACUCAAAGGAAUUGACGGGGGCCCGCACAAGCGGUGGAGCAUGUGGUUCAAUUCGACGCAACGCGAAGAACCUUACCUAGGCUUGACAUGCACAGGACGGCGUCCAGAAACGGGCGCUUCUCUUCGGAGUCUGUGCACAGGUGCUGCAUGGCUGUCGU
This 265-nucleotide ribosomal RNA is filed under the name uncultured bacterium. RNAcentral describes it as "partial 16S ribosomal RNA". It matches the Rfam family "Bacterial small subunit ribosomal RNA", at positions 793 to 1055 of the family's 1533-position model. The record is from RNAcentral.